AGGGUGUAAACGCUGCAGACUUGGUGUUGGAAGUCCUUUGGGGGCAUUCAGUGCCGGAGAGAAGUUGUUAAGUCUGCUACUUGGGGAGUACGUCCGCAAGGAUGAAACUUAAAGGAAUUGGCGGGGGAGCACCACAACGGGUGGAGCCUGCGGUUUAAUUGGACUCAACGCCGGGAAGCUCACCGGAUAAGACAGCGGAAUGAUUGCCGGGCUGAAGACUCUGCAUGACUAGCUGAGAGGAGGUGCAUGGCGUAGACGUCU
Molecule: ribosomal RNA, 261 nt
Filed under: uncultured archaeon
Lineage: Archaea
Description: partial 16S ribosomal RNA
Rfam family: Archaeal small subunit ribosomal RNA
Source: RNAcentral